GAUGAACGCUGGCGGCGUGCUUAACACAUGCCAGUCGAACGGGAAACCUUUUAUUGAAGCUUCGGCAGAUUUAGCUGGUUUCUAGUGGCGGACGGGUGAGUAACGCGUGGGUAACCUGCCUUAUACAGGGGGAUAACAGUCAGAAAUGGCUGCUAAUACCGCAUAAGCGCACAGAGCUGCAUGGCUCAGUGUGAAAAACUCCGGUGGUAUAAGAUGGACCCGCGUUGGAUUAGCUGGUUGGUGGGGUAACGGCCCACCAAGGCGACGAUCCAUAGCCGGCCUGAGAGGGUGAACGGCCACAUUGGGACUGAGACACGGCCCAGACUCCUACGGGAGGCAGCAGUGGGGAAUAUUGCACAAUGGGGGAAACCCUGAUGCAGCGACGCCGCGUGAAGGAAGAAGUAUCUCGGUAUGUAAACUUCUAUCAGCAGGGAAGAUAAUGACGGUACCUGACUAAGAAGCCCCGGCUAACUACGU
Molecule: ribosomal RNA, 477 nt
Filed under: uncultured bacterium
Lineage: Bacteria
Description: partial 16S ribosomal RNA
Rfam family: Bacterial small subunit ribosomal RNA
Source: RNAcentral